UGAUUGCGCGGGAUCCGAUCCGGUAGUAGUCAAGCGAUGGGGUGACGCAGGAGGGUAGCUCCGCCAGUCAGUGGUAAUACUGGUGUAAGCGUGUAGGCUAUCGGGAUAGGCAAAUCCGUCCUGAUGUUAGGCUGAGACGUGAUGCGUAGCCGAUUGAGGCGAAGUAGAGUGAUCCCAUGCUGCCGAGAAAAGCCUCUAGCGAGUGUUUAUGCGGCCCGUACCCCAAACCGACACAGGUGGUCAGGUAGAGAAUACCGAGGCGUUCGGGUGAACUGUGGUUAAGGAACUCGGCAAAAUGCCCCCGUAACUUCGGGAGAAGGGGGGCCGUGUGGCUUGAAGCCCCGUGCGGGCUAGGGCUGUGCGGCCGCAGAGAGCAGCGAGAAGCGACUGUUUACUAAAAACACAGGUCCAUGCGAAGUCGCAAGACGAUGUAUAUGGACUGACGCCUGCCCGGUGCUGGAACGUUAAGGGGACCGGUUAGCCUUUCGGGGCGAAGCUGAGAACUUAAGCGCCAGUAAACGGCGGUGGUAACUAUAACCAUCCUAAGGUAGCGAAAUUCCUUGUCGGGUAAGUUCCGACCUGCACGAAUGGCGUAACGACUUCUCGACUGUCUCAACCACAGGCCCGGUGAAAUUGCAUUACGAGUAAAGAUGCUCGUUACGCGCGGCAGGACGGAAAGACCCCGGGACCUUUACUAUAGCUUGGUAUUGGUGCUCGGUUCGGCUUGUGUAGGAUAGGUGGGAGACUGUGAAGCGGUCACGCCAGUGGCUGUGGAGUCAUCGUUGAAAUACCACUCUGGUCGUUCUGGGUGUCUAACCUCGGACCAUGAUCUGGUUCAGGGACAGUGCCUGGUGGGUAGUUUAACUGGGGCGGUUGCCUCCCAAAGGGUAACGGAGGCGCUCAAAGGUUCCCUCAGCCUGGUUGGCAAUCAGGUGUUGAGUGCAAGUGCACAAGGGGGCUUGACUGUGAGACUGACAGGUCGAGCAGGGACGAAAGUCGGAACUAGUGAUCCGGCGCUGGCUGGUGGAAGCGGCGUCGCUCAACGGAUAAAAGGUACCCCGGGGAUAACAGGCUGAUCUUGCCCAAGAGUCCAUAUCGACGGCAUGGUUUGGCACCUCGAUGUCGGCUCGUCGCAUCCUGGGGCUGGAGUAGGUCCCAAGGGUUGGGCUGUUCGCCCAUUAAAGCGGUACGCGAGCUGGGUUUAGAACGUCGUGAGACAGUUCGGUCCCUAUCCGCCGUGCGCGUAGGAGAUUUGAGGAAGGCUGUCCCUAGUACGAGAGGACCGGGAUGGACGGACCUCUGGUGUGCCAGUUGUUCCGCCAGGAGCAUGGCUGGUUGGCUACGUUCGGAAGAGAUAACCGCUGAAAGCAUCUAAGCGGGAAGCUUGUUCCAAGAUGAGAUCUCCCUCUCCUUGUGAGUUAAGGCCCCCAAGAGACGAUUGGGUUGAUAGGCCAGAGAUGGAAGCACCGUGAGGUGUGGAGUUGACUGGUACUAAUAGGCCGAGGACUUGACU
This is a ribosomal RNA of 1513 nucleotides. It matches the Rfam family "Bacterial large subunit ribosomal RNA", at positions 1431 to 2925 of the family's 2925-position model.